UGAUAGCGUAGAAGUGCGAAGUUACUCAAGGCCCAUUGUCAGGGCACAGAUAAUUCCAUGGAGCGAAUGUCAAGUUAGGAAACUGGCGACAA
RNAcentral lists this non-coding RNA (92 nucleotides) under bovine gut metagenome. RNAcentral's name for it is "S10-Clostridia ribosomal protein leader". It matches the Rfam family "S10-Clostridia ribosomal protein leader". The record is from RNAcentral.